Molecule: ribosomal RNA, 250 nt
Filed under: uncultured prokaryote
Description: partial 16S ribosomal RNA
Rfam family: Archaeal small subunit ribosomal RNA
Source: RNAcentral
UACCUGCAGCCCGAGUGGUGGUCGAUUUUAUUGAGUCUAAAGCGUUCGUAGCCGGUCCGUUAAAUCCUUGGGUAAAUCGGGAAGCUCAACUUUCCGACUUCCGAGGAGACUGGCGGACUUGGGACCGGGAGAGGCCAGAGGUACUUCUGGGGUAGGGGUAAAAUCCUGUAAUCCUAGAAGGACCACCGGUGGCGAAGGCGUCUGGCUAGAACGGAUCCGACGGUGAGGGACGAAGCCCUGGGUCGCAAAC